CAUGCAGUCGAGCGAUGAAGCCCUUCGGGGUGAAUUAGCGGCGGACGGGUGAGUAACACGUGGGUAACCUGCCUUAUAGAGGGGAAUAGCCUUCCGAAAGGAAGAUUAAUACCGCAUAACAUGUUUUUAUCGCAUGGUAGAAACAUCAAAGGAGUAAUCCGCUAUAAGAUGGACCCGCGGCGCAUUAGCUAGUUGGUGAGGUAACGGCCCACCAAGGCGACGAUGCGUAGCCGACCUGAGAGGGUGAUCGGCCACAUUGGAACUGAGACACGGUCCAGACUCCUACGGGAGGCAGCAGUGGGGAAUAUUGCGCAAUGGGGGAAACCCUGACGCAGCAACGCCGCGUGAAUGAAGAAGGCCUUAGGGUUGUAAAGUUCUGUUUUCUGGGACGAUAAUGACGGUACCAGAGGAGGAAGCCACGGCUAACUACGUGCCAGCAGCCGCGGUAAUACGUAGGUGGCAAGCGUUGUCCGGAUUUACUGGGCGUAAAGGAUGCGUAGGCGGAUGUUUAAGUGAGAUGUGAAAUACCCGAGCUCAACUUGGGUGCUGCAUUUCAAACUGGAUAUCUAGAGUGCAGGAGAGGAAAGCGGAAUUCCUAGUGUAGCGGUGAAAUGCGUAGAGAUUAGGAAGAACACCAGUGGCGAAGCGGCUUUCUGGACUGUAACUGACGCUGAGGCAUGAAAGCGUGGGGAGCAAACAGGAUUAGAUACCCUGAUAGUCCACGCCGUAAACGAUGAAUACUAGUGUAGGAGGUAUCGACUCCUUCUGUGCCGCAGUUAACACAAUAAGUAUUCCGCCUGGGGAGUACGAUCGCAGAUUAAAACUCAAAGGAAUUG
Molecule: ribosomal RNA, 836 nt
Filed under: uncultured bacterium
Lineage: Bacteria
Description: bacterial SSU rRNA
Rfam family: Bacterial small subunit ribosomal RNA
Source: RNAcentral